CUCAGGGAGGUAGUGACAAGAAAUAACAACACUGGAAAUUUUAUUUCUAGUGAUUGGAAUGAUGGGAAUUUAAACCCCUUUCAGAGUAACAAUUGGAGGGCAAGUCUGGUGCCAGCAGCCGCGGUAAUUCCAGCUCCAAUAGCGUAUAUUAAAGUUGUUGCAGUUAAAAAGCUCGUAGUUGGAUGUCUGCUGGAAGCAAUCAGUCCGCCCUAUUUGUAGGGUGUGCACUUGAUGAAUUCUGGCAUCUAUGUCCUAAUGUGAUAGAUACGGCGGUGUAUAUGGGUUAAUCCUAUAUACCCGUUUUUGUAUAUUAUAUUGGGAUAAUACCGUUACUUUGAGAAAAUUAGAGUGUUUGAAGCAGGCUAAUUGCCUUGAAUACUGCAGCAUGGAAUAACAAUAUAGGAUUUCGGUUCUAUUUUGUUGGUUUCUAGGACUGAAAUAAUGAUUAAUAGGGACAGUUGGGGGCAUUCGUAUUUAACUGUCAGAGGUGAAAUUCUUAGGUUUGUUAAAGACGAACUACUGCGAAAGCAUUUGCCAAAGAUGUUUUCAUUAAUCAAGAACGAAAGUUAGGGGCUCGAAGACGAUCAGAUACCGUCGUAGUCUUAACCAUAAACUAUGCCGACUAGAGAUAGGAAAAUGUCAUUUUUCUGACUU
Molecule: ribosomal RNA, 654 nt
Filed under: Sarcocystis hjorti
Lineage: Eukaryota; Apicomplexa; Conoidasida; Eucoccidiorida; Sarcocystidae
Description: SSU rRNA
Rfam family: Eukaryotic small subunit ribosomal RNA
Source: RNAcentral